GUUUGAUCCUGGCUCAGGAUGAACGCUAGCGGCAGGCCUAACACAUGCACGUCGAGGGGUAUAUGUCUUCGGAUAUAGAGACCGGCGCACGGGUGCGUAACGCGUAUGCAAUCUACCUUUUGCAGGGGAAUAGCCCAGAGAAAUUUGGAUUAAUGCCCCAUAGUAUAAUGAUAAGGCAUCUUAUUAUUAUUAAAGUCACAACGGCAAAAGAUGAGCAUGCGUCCCAUUAGUUAGUUGGUAAGGUAACGGCUUACCAAGACGAUGAUGGGUAGGGGUCCUGAGAGGGAGAUCCCCCACACUGGUACUGAGACACGGACCAGACUCCUACGGGAGGCAGCAGUGAGGAAUAUUGGACAAUGGGCGCAAGCCUGAUCCAGCCAUGCCGCGUGCAGGAAGACGCAUCUAUGGUGUGUAAACUGCUUUUGUACAGGAAGAAACACUCCCUCGUGAGGGAGCUUGACGGUACUGUAAGAAUAAGGAUCGGCUAACUCCGUGCCAGCAGCCGCGGUAAUACGGAGGAUCCAAGCGUUAUCCGGAAUCAUUGGGUUUAAAGGGUCCGUAGGCGGUCAGAUAAGUCAGUGGUGAAAGCCCAUCGCUCAACGGUGGAACGGCCAUUGAUACUGUCUGACUUGAAUUAUUAGGAAGUAACUAGAAUAUGUAGUGUAGCGGUGAAAUGCUUAGAGAUUACAUGGAAUACCAAUUGCGAAGGCAGGUUACUACUAAUGGAUUGACGCUGAUGGACGAAAGCGUGGGUAGCGAACAGGAUUAGAUACCCUGGUAGUCCACGCCGUAAACGAUGGAUACUAGCUGUUGGGAGCAAUCUCAGUGGCUAAGCGAAAGUGAUAAGUAUCCCACCUGGGGAGUACGUUCGCAAGAAUGAAACUCAAAGGAAUUGACG
This 898-nucleotide ribosomal RNA is filed under the name uncultured bacterium. RNAcentral describes it as "bacterial SSU rRNA". It matches the Rfam family "Bacterial small subunit ribosomal RNA", at positions 11 to 915 of the family's 1533-position model. The record is from RNAcentral.